GACAUCCUUAUGACUUGCUUUAGGCUGCUUUCUGGAUGUAUUUUCAGAGCUGGGGAUGAGGAGAGGUUGCGUAAAGGUGCCGGCCUGCUGCUGGCCGGGGCUGGCAGCCUUUCAGCCGCCGCGGGUGAGUCAACACCUGGGAAUUGCAUCCAAGGGCGGCCCUUUCAAGCUGCCUGGAACUUUCUGCCAUCACACUGAGGCCACUGUUUGACCCAGUCCCGGGCCAGGGAGGCAGGAGCCGAUCACGUCCCAGGGCAGUGCUUCUCCCUGGCACUGAGUCCGUGGAAAGAGGCUGGGAAGGUUCUUUCCACACUUGAGGGCUGGCGUUGGGAAAAUAGGGUAGUGCUCUCCGCCCCAGUGAACAGCAAGAGCUCACUUCCCCCAGCAGACUUCUGCUCCACUGGCCUACUUUCAGCAUGGAGUGGAAGGAAGCCAGCUCCAGGAGGGCAGAGGCUUCCUCUCCACCCCUCUCUUCCACAACCUUCAACAGGCGCCUUGUUCUCCCCGGCCAGGGAACUGCGGAUGGUGACCAUCGUUUCCCAGCCCAGCAAGGGGAAAUGAGGGGAGGAAAUAAACGCAGGGUUUUUAUUGCCAAAUAUUUCUUUCCCUGGGAGGACAACGCAUUCAAACCGCUGAGUGGAGAUUGGAGUUAGUCCAGCCAUAAACCAUCUUAAUGAACACUAAUAGAGAACCGCAAUUAUUGUUGACUUCAAAAUGCAAACAAGAACUUUAGACAGUGAUCCCUAUCAGCCGGUGAGGCCGGGCACAGAUGCCGGGCGCUGUUUUUGCCGUUGCUUAGCAAUGGAAAAUGAACUGUUCCUGUCUGUUACCACUGGAGGUGGAGGUAGGACAAUGAGCUUUAUUGGACAGAAUAGGUAUGAAAUUAGUUUAUUCUUUUUCACUUGGAGAAGGCAAUUGGCAGCCAAGAGAGUCACUCGGAAAAGGGAUAAAGUUUGAACUUUUGCCGGGAGUGUCCCUCCAAAACGAUCAUCAAUCAGACAGAAUAGCUGCAAAUACCAACUCACAGACCAGUGAUAGGGUCUUGCUAUGUUGCCUCGGCUGGAAUGCAGUGGCUGUUCAUAGACAUUAUCACAGCACACUACAGUCUCAAACUCCUGGACUCAAGCAAUCCUCCUGCCUCAGCCUCCUGAGUAGCUAGGACUACUGGGAUGCACUACUGCUCUUGGCAAAUUAAGGAUUUUGAGAUGGAGAGACUAUCCUGGAUUAUCUGAUGGGCUUAAUCAUUGACAAAGGUUCUUAUAUAAGGAAAAGUCAAUGUGAUAAUGGAAGCAGAUUUGAAGAUGCUGUGCAACUGGCUUUGAAGAUGGAGGACGGGGCCACAAGCCAAGGAUUGUUGGCAGCCUCUAAGCUGGAAGAGGUAAGAAGCAUAUUCUCCUGUGGCACCUCCGGGAGAAAUGCAGUACUGCCUAUACCUUGACUUUAGCCAAGUGAAACUAAUUUUAGACUUCUCACCUCCAGAACUGUAAGAUAAUAAAUUUGUGUUGAUUUAAGACACUAUGUUUGUGGUAAUUGGUUACAGCAAUAGGAAACUAAUAGACCAGGCAUUAUGUUAAGUGCUUUAUAUCAUUAAAGAAAUGUAUACAAAUCCAC
This 1611-nucleotide long non-coding RNA is filed under the name Homo sapiens (human). RNAcentral's name for it is "HSALNT0214512". The record is from RNAcentral. Lineage: Eukaryota; Metazoa; Chordata; Mammalia; Primates; Hominidae.